CAUUAAAUACCCCUUCCAUUGCGUACUCAACUUCCCCUCUCCUUCCUCCUCAGUCUCUCACCCCCCCCCCCAAGACGGCAAUAUGUACCAACGGAGAGCCACCUGUUUUCUCGUCCUCGCCAUCGUCCUCCUUCUCCCGCCCCUACCAGCUUCCUAUCCAUGUGUGGCCGCCGCACAUGGCCCACCGCAUCAUGCUCCAGGUGGUGACGCUGGUGCGUGGGGUCAAACUGACGGCCUGCAUCGUCAAGGGGGAAAGGUGUCAGGGAUGGGAGCCGCGAGGCGCUUGGGACGGAGGAUACCGCUGAAGGACCCUCCCUCGCCAAUCCCUAAUGAAAACUCGGGGGUGGUGAUUCCCCUGCCGCCGCCGCCACCGCUGCCGAUCAAUUGACAAGUGUUUGGAGUCUGGGUACGAGCAUAUGCCAUGGUGACUUCCGUGCACCUCUGGUCUCUUCCUAAUGUGUUAGAAGAAUAAUCUUGCUGCUGUGAAAUAAGUCGUCAUGCUUCAAAGUCUUAAAAUGUAUUGUUCACUUCUCUAUAUCAAUUUGGACUUCUGAGGUAAAUGGCGGAAAAAUAAAUUUAAUAUAGUCAGAGGCAAGUUGUCUCUAAGAUCCGGUCGACUAGAUAGUAAUAAGUUAAUUAUAGCAUACAUAUAUAAUUUUCCUGUGUGGAACAUUUUUUUUGGUAAUGAUGAACAUUAAACUAGCGGGCACGUGAUGAUAGCUGACAAUCUGUAAUCAUUGUCCAAGAACCAUCGUACACAGAAAAAUAUUUUCAAACUUUACGCUAUCUUAUAUUAUUUGUAUCGGCUCUAGAAAAAAAAUCAAGGAGAUUGAGAAAACCAUUAAAACAUUAAUCAAAUAAUAGUAAUUUGACGAAUAUGCAAUCCAUUUUACAUCAUGUGUAUAUCUUACCAACGUUUUUGCGUUUAAUAAAAAUGAAAAAAAAGCUCAAUCUGUGAAGAAGUAAUGGAUCUCAAAGUUGAAGAUAAAAAGAUUGUAGUAAUUAGCAUUUUUUUUUCUUCCCUUUUAUUGUGGCGCUUUUAAGAUGCGCUCCCUCCGUAUCAAAAAUAAGCGUCGCUGAUUUAGUACUAGUACAAAUAGAGGGAUUAAUUAAUUGAGGAAGUAAUCAUUUAAUUCCUUAAUUAUGUAAUGUGCAAAGUCCGUAUAUUGAGCUUACAAAGGAAUUAAUUGAUUCUUAUUACCUCCCAAGAUGUUAGACACAUACGAGCCAUUGGAUAGGGCAAAAUUAAUGGCUCAUAUUAACUUGGACUAUCUUAAAAAAAUUCAUUUCAUAAAUGAAAAGAUGCCGCUGCAUGCCUCGCUUACUCACGGGUGCAUCACGAGGGAGCCAGCAGGAAGAAACGGCUGCGAAUGCUUCGAGGCAAUAUCCAGCGCCCCUGGUGGAGGAUUCAAGUGAAAACACCACACCCGUACGUCGAGCAGCCCACAAUCUCACACCCGCAGGCAGAGAUAGUCACAGUCUCUCAGGGAGCAAACAGUGUCUCAGUGGAGUGCUUCCUAGCUUACUCGAGCUGUGAACCCGUGAUCUCGCCAACUGAAGCCGUCCCUGACUGUGAUCCGCCCACACGGCUUGAUGGGCCGAAGGAUGGCCACCUGGUUGCUCGUCGCCGCCGCCGUCAUCCUGCCCCUGCUGGCGGCCGCCACGCAUCGCCUGCCGCGGCAUGCUCCAGGUGAUGGCUUCGGCGCGUGGGGUCGACCGGAGGGGCUGCGCCGUGGAGGGACGGUGCUGGGUGUGGGAGCUGCCAGGCGCCUGGGCCAGAGGACGCCGGUGAAGGCGCCUCCCUCGCCGGACCCCAAUCCCGGCAAGGGCACGUCGACGCGUCGGCUGCCCACGCGCCUCCCCUCUCCUCCCUCCAUCAAAGAAUAGUCUUGGACGGUUUCUCAACAGCAUGCAGAAUAAUGAAAACGGCAAUAGAUAACCAUUGCCAAAAUAAACUAUCUUCCCUUUGUUUUGUCAAGCACAUUUCUAAGUCAUCUCAUAACAGUGCAGAGUUUUUCCAAAA
Long non-coding RNA from Aegilops tauschii subsp. strangulata, 2023 nucleotides. RefSeq lists it as uncharacterized. NCBI's taxonomy places the organism in Eukaryota, Viridiplantae, Streptophyta, Magnoliopsida, Poales, Poaceae. The record is from RefSeq and is a predicted model, not a curated record.